Manis pentadactyla (Chinese pangolin) is the source of this 5947-nucleotide long non-coding RNA. RefSeq lists it as uncharacterized. The record is from RefSeq and is a predicted model, not a curated record. The transcript has 4 exons. NCBI's taxonomy places the organism in Eukaryota, Metazoa, Chordata, Mammalia, Pholidota, Manidae.
GGUCCCUGCUCUUAUCUUCUUCUCCUGCUGUCUUCCUUUGUGAAUUGAUCUUCCAUAGUGGAAUGAUCUGAUUCCCUUCUCUUUAUUUCGAGUAUCUACCAUAUAGGGUUUUGACUUGUGGUUACCUUGGGGCUUACAUAAAACUUCAUGAGAGCAUAACCAUCUACGUUACACUGAUAACAACUGAACUUUGCAUCACACAAAAACUCUACCCUUUUACUCCCCCCUUUUAUGUUUUUGAUACCACAAUCCACAUUUUUUAUACUGUGUAUUCAUUAAAUUAUUGUAGUCUUAGAGUUGACCCUUCAUCAACCUGGGUUUGAACUGCAUGGGUCCACUUGUGUGUGUCUGGGAAGUCUUUUACUCGCCUUCACUUCUCAACAACACAUUUGCUGGAUAAGGUGUUGGUUGGCAGUUUUUUCUCCUUCAGCCCUUUGAACAUACCAUCCAGUUCUCUCCUGCCUUGUAAGAAUUCCCUUGUAUGUAAGGAUUUAUUUUUUCUCUUGCUGCAUAUAAGAAUCUUUGUCUUUAGUUAGUUUUUGACAGUUUUGUUAUAAUGUGUCUUGGAGAAAAGCUCUUUAAAUUGAUUUCAUUUUAUGAGCUUCAUGAAUUGCAUAUCCAAAUCUCUUCCUGAUUUGGGAAGUUUUCAGACAUUAUUUCUUUAGAUAAGGUUUCUGCCUCCCAUCUUCUUCUGAGUCUCUAAUAAUUCACAGGUUCUUUGUUUUGAUAGUAUCAUAUGGUUUAUUCUACUGUUUUUCAUUCCUUUUUCUUCUUUCUCCUGUGGAUAGUUUCAAAGUUUCUGUCUUCUAAUUCACACAUUCUUCCCUCUGCUUGAUCGAAUCUGACGUUGUUGCUUUCUAUGGAAUCCUUCAUUCCGUCAUUGAAUUCUUCAGCUCCAGAAUUUAUUUGGUUAUUAUUAUUUCUAUCUCUCUGUUAAACAAACUUCUUGUUUUGUUUGUGUAUUGUCUUCCUCAUUUUGUCAAAUGGUUUUUCUGUGUUUUGUUGUAGUUUAUUGAGCUUCCUUAAAACAUCUUGUUUUGAAUUGGGCAUCAGGUAAGGCACAAGUCUUCAUGUCUUUGGGGUUGGUUCCUGGGUGAUCCCUGUGACCCUCUGCAGUGAACCAUGUCUCCUUGGUUCUCGUGCUCCUUGAAGUCUUGCAUUGCUGUCCUUGCACAUCAAGUGACAGUCACUUCCUCCAGUCUUCGCUGACUGACUUCAGGAGAGAAAUAUCUUCCAUCAGCUCUGCUAGGGACUCAGAGGCUUUCUCAGACCUUCAUUAGAUAAACCUGCUCCAUGCUUCUUGCUUCCUUUUAUAGCAGAAAUGCCUUCUCUUGAUUCCGUAUUGCAUGAGGCUGGAUGCUGACAGCCUCCUUUUGGCUUUCCCAGGAGUGAAGCUAAAACUCAAGUUUGUGGUCCCUUCCUGCCCUGAAGAUUGGAGCUAGCUUUUGGCAUGUGUUCACUAGCUGUCUGCCAAAGCUUGCCCUCACCAUCAGGAGUGCACACAUGCAUCUGGCCACAGGACUUGGGUGAGGAGCAUGGAGUGCUAGGUGCCACUUGGGGAAUCUGCAAGUGAGGCAUUCCCCGGGGCUUAUGGGUGGGCUUCUUGAUGGGGUCUGCAGCAGUCAGUAGGACCCACAAUCCUUUAAUGCCCUCGGAGAGUCUGUGGUGCUCUUCCAGCAGCUCAGGCCUUCGGUCAUGCAGCUCAUGACUCAGUACCCCGAAGAGAGUGAGAGAAGGCUGAGCCUCUUUGGUUGUGACCUGCACAGCUGGAGAAGUUGGGUGUCACUCACACAUUCUCAUUUCCCUGCAGGAAAAGUAACAGGUGAGAAGCUCUUGGCUCUGACCUGUGUUUUCUUGAGGGAAAGGGUGAUGUGGGUGAAGUCAGACUGUUCCUCUGACCCUCUCCAGUGUAUCCUAACUGUAUUUGUUUGUUCCGGUGGUGUGCUGGAACUUCUCUGGAAACCUGGACUUCCACAAAGGCUCUGUUACCCGUGGGUGACUAUCUAAAGCUGUGUCAUCCAGGGGCUCCCAGACUGUGGCUGAGGGGCCAGAGUAGGUCCACAGCCAGGAGCCAGGCACAUGGGUGCCCUGAGACUCCUUCCAGGCCCCUUGGCGUAUGGUGCUGGAUCCCGUUCCCACAAAGGCACUCUUUUCUGUGGACGGAUACCAAACCGUUGCUGCCGGUGGGGGGAGGGGAAGAAUGAGGGCACUAUGUUGCUGACAUGACCUGCAGAACAUUUUUUUUUUAUCAGUUCUUGUACAUUCAUUGUUAAAAUGUAUUUUUAGAUAUUAUGAGAGGGAUCCUUUUCCAUCAAAUAUCUCAUUAUUGUUGCCAUACAGGAAACAAUUACUGCAUGUUUAUCUUCAAGUUGAACAUCUUCUGAUAGUUCUAAUAAUUUUUAAAUGAUUUCAUAGAUCCUAAAUCUGUAUCUAGAUUGUAUUGGCACGGAUUGGCCAAAGUGAGUGAUAGUGGGUAGCCUAUUUUACAUCUUUAGGGUUUCGUUAUCUAAAAUAAUGUGUUUUUAGUUUGAUAUGCAGUCUUUAUUGUGACAAGGAACUUUGAGCUCCAGUUUGCUGAUUGUUACUACUAGGAAUGUAUGUUAAAUUUGACAUCUUUUCAGUAAAGAUAGAGAUGCUUAAAUUUUUCUCAGUCAUUUUAUAUUAUAUAUUUCUUUCCAUGUUUGCUAUUAUUAUAGGAAGAAACUUCAAUUAUAUUUUCAGAUUUAACAGCAUGAAGUUGUAUAAAAUAGUCAUUUAAUUUUAAAAAUAAUUCCCACAUAGCUGGUCAUUCCUCCCAUUCUGUUGGCCUGUAUUCUGCUUUGUCUAAUCUGUUUUGACCUGUGUGAGACUUGACCUUGUAGUUGUUAUUUUAGACUCUCAUAUUCAUCUCAGUUUCUUUCCCAAAAUGCCAGCUAUUGGCCUUACUUGCCAGUUUUAUUUUUUCCUAAUAAAGUACUUCUCUUUUAUCUACUUUCUACAUUAAAAAAAGUGUUGUUUAUAUAGCUUUCUGAUUUGAAUGGCUCACUUUUCAUCUUUCUCAUUCAAUAAGUGUACUUACCACUAAUUGUCAUCUAUGUACAACUUUAGAUAUAUAACACAGAAUACUAGUGUUCUCGCUGUCAUGAACACCAGAAUAGUGUAUACUUUAUAUUUUUAAUUUUCAGAUACAUUUCAAUGUUCAUUUAUUUUAUUGUGACUUUCUACUUUAUUUCAUUUUUUGCAUUUGCCUCAUUUAUUUUUGAGCAUGCCUUUAAUAGAACAUUUUUGUCUCAUUUGGUUCAAAUGUCUCAUUAGCACCUAUUGGUGGACUUCUUUCAAUGUAAUUCGAGAGUUUGUUGUUUAAUAGGGGAAUUUAUCUCAGUCGUGUUUGUUAUGAUUACUGUUAUAUUUUAGUCCUGUCAUCUUAGCUUUUCUACUCAUUAUCCUCUCUUGUUGCCUUUUUCUGACUUCUGCUGGUUCUGAAUCACCACCUACAUACACCUCUGCCUUGGUCUUUAUAAUUGCUGUGUCAUCAUCACUGAAUGGAUGUUUCCUUGGUGGUAAACUCUGGUUAUUUAUGAUUCUUCUCUUUUAUAAUCAUUGCUGUAGUGAACGUACUCAUGAAUGUAUCUUGGCAAACAAUUUUGAGUAUAUCUGUUGGGUGAAUUUUAGAGGAGGGAUUAAGGGUAACUGUCAGCCAGACGGGUUGCACAUUUUUAGUUCUCCUGGUGGCUUAUAAGAAUGUGCAUCCCACUCAUUCUCAUCAGCUCUAGAGAAUUAUCACAAAACUUUUCAAUUCUUGCCAAUUAAUAGUGAAAGUGUCUUAUUUUUGUUUUAUUUUAGUUUUCUUUAAUUAUAAGUAAGGCUGAACUGUACAGAAACCAUACAUCUGUAGUCCUUCUGUAAGCUACUUGUCAUAUAUUAAGGAAACUGCUUCUAAUCCUUUGAGUUGCAGGUAUGUUUUCCUGAUUUGUCAUUGAUCUUAUAUUUUUUCUCCCUAUAUAUAAGUUUUGAAGUUUUAUGUAGUUAUCAGUGAGUUCCUUUAUGGUUUGUGUGUGUGGAAAAUCUUACUAGAAAGGUCCUCCCCACUUCCAGGUCAUACAUUUAUUUUAUAAUGCAGUCUUCUAAAAUAAUUAUGCUCCAGGUUUUAUGUUUAACUCUUUGUUCCAUAUGGAAUAUAAGGAGUCAGUCCCAUUUUUGUUUAUAUCCUCUCCUCCUUUUCUCUUAUUCUCUUUCCUUCUUGUUCUUGACCCAAGCCUGACUCCUGGGAUUCAGGAACUGUGCAGUCUAGUUCUACACUGCUAGAGACUAUGUUUAGUUAACAUUUCACUGCAUUUGUAUUCUCUCUUCUGUAGGUACAUUUGUAUGUGUGAGCGUGUGAUCUACUUCAGGGUCUGCUGCGAGUGUCACAGCACCGCUCCCAAGUCCUUUGGCAUCUGUCCCAAGGACCAGGACACGUUGUGUGCUGGUGACCAGGAGUACCCCAUGGAGACUCACACUGACGCAUUCCUGGUGUAUGACAGAUGAUCUUUAUUCACAUUCCCAAGCGUUCAAGCACAGAGUGGCCCCCGGUGUCCAGUUUCACCUCCCAGAGUCUCGGGUACUUGCUGUCCGCUGCAGCCUGGAGGUAGGUGACCUCCUCCUCACCUCCGGUCAGGCCAGAAGCAGCCUAAUGCUACGUCACAGCACCCAGGUCACUCACCUCACUCCAUCUCAUCUCAUGGGCACUUCAUCAUCUUACAUCACAAGAAGGGCACUGAAACGGAAUUCCUUUGAACAACUCCCUAAGCGAGCAGGAGGGCCCGGGAAGGCAUGUGUCCCUGCGGCUGGGAAGCCCAGCCUAAAACCACCGGUUUUCAGAAUUCCUAUGCGGCCUGUCACUUUGAGGGAGCCUCUCGCCCUGGGCAUGUGGCGGGUGGCAUGGCUGUUAGAGGCAGCGAGGGCACUGAGGCGCACCCCCCAAGGAGGCUGGCUGGGAACCAGGCAGAGCCACGAAGCCCUGGGGCUCACACCAGCCCCUCUGCACCCCAUGGGAGUGUGGGCUGAGAAACAAGUGGGAAGACGCAGGGGAUGCGUCCAGUGAUAAUGGUUCCAGGGGUGUGACUAUGAGCAGCUCUGUCUUAGUGACCCGAAGCUGGGAGUUUGUCAGAACACCAUACUCUCACAGACUGCUAUAAAAAAAGACGGACUUUUACUCAAUCUAAAACAACACACAGAAUGACAUGAACAAUAUUAACACUUACAGUUAUACAUUUAGGCCUUUAUAAAUACUACUCUCUCUUAGAACAGCUCCGUGAGCCAGAGGCGAUUGCUUCUGCACCCCAGACGAGGAAAUGAGGCUCAGUGGCCGCUUUUUGCCAGAAGCCACGAGGCGGACAGGCAGGGUGGGGUCAGGAACUGGGGUCAGCUGGCCCUCCCACCCUGCCACCCUGUCCUUUUUGCGUGGGGUACAGCACAGGGAGAUCGUGAGACAAGCCAAGAAGAGUAAACAUAAAAGAAAAAUGGUUGAAAGGGUACAAACUGAAGUUACUUAUUUCUGGGACGCUCACAUUUUCCUGACCCCCUGAGGCUCCCGGAGGCCUCAGUAAAGCUAUGGCCCUGUGGGGGCUUUAUUUUUUAGAAAGUUCUUUCUACUUUUUUACUUGCAGUUAAGGGGGUAUGAAAAGCUUAAGCUUGUUUCCAUUCUGUUAUCUAAAGAGAGAUAAGUUUUUUUAAGCAAUUAUCACAGGAUGGCCAAACCAAAGUUGCUUUGAACUCAACCUUAUUCCAGUUUUAUGAAUUGUACGAUUUAACUAGAAAAGACAAUCGAUAAGUGUUUUAUUGUCAGGUUGGAAAGUCAUGGAAAGUCACUUUAACUUGAACACGAUUUCGAGCAGCAUCUCAACUGUCUGAAAAGCCUAAAAUGCGCAGCGAGUCGCAGCGCCCGCGGCCUCCGGCCAGCACAGGGACCGUCUGGAGAGCCAGGGCU